This 394-nucleotide ribosomal RNA is filed under the name uncultured bacterium. RNAcentral describes it as "partial 16S ribosomal RNA". It matches the Rfam family "Bacterial small subunit ribosomal RNA", at positions 523 to 918 of the family's 1533-position model. The record is from RNAcentral.
AUACGUAGGGAGCGAGCGUUGUCCGGAAUUACUGGGAGUAAAGGGCGCGUAGGCGGCGCUUCAAGUCGUCUGUCAAAUGGGAGGGCUUAACCCUUUUUCGCAGACGAAACUGGAGAGCUUGAGAAGCCGAGAGGCAAACAGAAUUACUGGGGUAGCGGUGAAAUGCGUAGAUAUCAGGAAGAAUACCAGUGGAGAAGGCGGUUUGCUGGCUGCAUACUGACGCUGAAGCGCGAAAGCCAGGGGAGCAAACGGGAUUAGAUACCCCGGUAGUCCUGGCAGUAAACGAUGAAUGCUAGGUGUGGGUGUCGAGAGGCAUCCGUGCCGGAGUUAACGCGAUAAGCAUUCCGCCUGGGGAGUACGAUCGCAAGAUUGAAACUCAAAUGAAUUGGCGGGG